UUGAAAUUGAUUUGAUUUAUACCGCGAAUUGUGUAGCAUUUUUCGUGCGAAUGUUUUUUCCCCGUUAAUUUCUUUUUCAUUACAUUUAUUAGUAGAAUUUAGAAAUAACUUACGUUAAAGUAUGUGCUUCAUUGAUAAUUUUAGCUAAUAAAUAAAGAAUUCUGCUUCGUCUAUGCCUUUAAUCCAAGUUUUAAAUAAAAGAGUGUUGUAAAAUAUGCGUGGGCAUUUAAUUUAAACUAGUCAUAUGGAAGUUGGGAAGCACUUCCGCAAAGGAUCCGUUAAAUGUAAACAUCGCCACAAAUGGCGAUAACGUUUUUUCUGAGGUUUUGUAAGGCAGAUUAUUUUAUAGUAUAAAGUAUAUUGCCGUUGUAACUGUUAAAAAUACAUAUUUUUCCUUUAUACCAUUUAGUUAAUAAGCAGAAAUCAGAAUUAUUUUGGUGCAAGAAAGCUGAAAGGACAAAAAGUAACAGACUGGCCGUAUUUCAUUUGUCUCUUUACCAGUCUUUCCAUUCUCAAGUUUGUAACAUCUCAUGAUUCAACAGGAUUGUGCUACUACGUCAUCUUCAGUAGUUAAUUCUACACUGCUGACAGAUACUACAGAUAAUACUUCUCAUAAAUAAUGGGUUCAGAAAAAAAGAAAGUACAUUUAACGAAGACAUAAAGGAAUACCAGUUUAUUGAAAAAACUUUAAGUGUUUCCGAUUUAUGGUGCAAUACUUUGCUGUGAACAUGUUCUUUAAAAAUUUCUAUAAAUUAUGGUGGACGUACAGAUAUUAAACUUCAUGUAAAUAGUAAUAAGCAUAAAAUAUCAAACUCUGCUGCUGCAUCUACCUCGUCAUUAAAGAAUUUCUUCAAAUAGAAGAAAAUGAGUGAUAAAGAAGAAUUAGCUGCAGUAGCGGGUACUUUUGCAUAUUAGUACUAUUUGCAACAACCAUAGCUUUAAGUCCAAGUAUAUUUAAGCUGCUUCAAGUGGCAUUUGAGCCUAAAUGUACAUAUGCGUGAAUCAAGGCCGGAACAAUAAUACUAAAUGUUUUCAUGCCUUAAAACUUUAACAGCUUUGCACAAUGAUUUGAGAAAAUGUUCAUUUGUUUCAACCUCAAGUGAUGUGUCCAGUCACAAGAAAAUAAAACUUUCUCCAAUACUUGUUAGAUUUAUAGAUAGGAUUAUUGGGUUAGAGUUAAAAUUUUAGAAUUUAAAUACUUACCUGGUUAAAACAUCCAAUAUUGUCAGCAACUAUUUAACUACCUGUCUUGAAGAAAAUAAUUUAAAGGAAGAAGUUGUUGGUUUUUGUGAAGGUAAUUCAAAUUCUAACUUUGGAGGAGCUGAUACAUGUGGAAAAAAUAAUGUUUUUGUUAAAGUGAAACAAAAUCUUAAUCAGGGUUUAAUUGGACUCAGAUGUGCAAAGCAUAAUAUAACACAUCCAUAACACUAUAAGAACAUGAGCUGAUGUUUUGCUGGUUGAUAAAGAAGUGAUUAUUUCUAAGAUAUACUUUAAAUCUUAUACUGUUAGAGGAGAAAUAUUGAAAAAUUUCUGUAAUUUUGUAGAAAAUUAUUUUCCAAUAAUACUAGUGUAUUCACAAAUAUGUUAUGAUUUGGUUAUGCAUUAUUUUGUUGUGUACAAUCGUUAUAUUAUUUUACUGUGUUUAAUGAAUUUGUAUUGUUCUUAUUUAAAAAUUAAUGUUUAAUAUUUAGUAUUGUUUAAACUUUUCGUUCAUUUACGGCAAAGCUCUUUGAAGUUUAGCCGAAGAUGUGAUUCAGAAAAAAGGGCGCGGGUGUAUUUCCAUUUCUCACGAGUCAGCUUCUUGUGGGGAGGGGGUCAGGGGUUAGAGUGCCUAUCUGCAAUUUCCUCUUUUCGCGGGGUUGACCACAUAUAUAGGGUGUGGAGGCGAGAAAGUAUUUCGGCCUUUCCGAAGUGGAGAACUGGGUAACUUGUUUAUUACUAAGAAUGUCGCAAGUUUAACUGAAUUACGAUUGGAAACAUUCCGCUGUUGCGCGGGAAAAGAAAGGGUCUGUCAUUUUGUGAGAAAGUCUGGAUUUCUGCGAAUUCUAGAGGCUAUUUAUUGCCUCUGUUAUAAGUGGCUAGAGGGAGUCCAAGUUUCUUUAAGAUUGGCUAAUUUUUAAUUUUAGUAUUUUUUGAGCCAAUAGUGAAUUAGAGAUGUUUACAUUGUGAGUUUCAACUGAAUUUUCUUAAGCCGUUACACGUAAGGAGGAAGAUGAUUUUAGACCGAAAGAAGAUUUUUGACUGAAUUUGGUUUAGCAGGCUGUCCAGAGCCUUAGCGGGUUUGAUUCCUUGACGGCGGUCCCUUCGGGGGCGGCCGCGGUUGUUGAUGUGCUGUUGCACUGAUCAGUGGGUGAUGGCAGAAUUUUUUUUAUCAGUGGCCGAUGGCAGAGUUUUUGUGCAAGUUCUGACCAACUUUUCUGAGUGGGAGCGGAGAAAAAGGAAACGCGGCGACCCUUUCGGGGUCGACCGUGGGUUGCAAUUAAGGGGUAUUACCGCGUCCCCUUGGUUCUGAUUGCAGAGAACUGUCCAAGCCGUGCGGACUCUCAUCGUGAUAGACGGCAGGGAAUUUCCUGUCCUGCGACAUAAUGGUGUUGGUUUCAUCAUGAUGGUUUUUAGUAGAAAGAGACAGAUUUUCUGAUGGAAUGGAAUAUGAAAUAACAGCAUGUCUUCUUUUCCUGUUAUAAUCCCAAAUUGUUUGCGCCAAAGAUACAUAUUUUGUGAUGAUAAUAUUGAAUAAAGGGAGUGGCUUCUUCCAAGUAUAAUUUUGAAGGUUUCGUGCUGAAGAUGCAGAUUAUUGCAGAUUAUUCUCUUGUCUGUUUGUCUGCUUUUAUCCACUGCAUCAGCACGAACAUUUCAAAGGUUGAUUUUAAAGUUAAAAUGCAGAUCCUGGUCAGAGUAGUGCUGGAACUAUGAGAAAAUACCUGUGGUGGUUUGAAAAGCCUCCAGUAUCUGUUUCCCAGACAACGAUGAAUUUGAACGGUUUUGUUCCGACAUUUUGUGACUGGAUCCGGGCAGCUUCCCGAGUUCCUCAGAUUUGUGUACAUGGAUUCCGUGAGCAAACAUUUUUAUUUUCAUUUUGCUUUUCUUUUAUAAGUAAUCGUUAGAAUUUUGGAAGAGUUAAAUUCUAACGCCUUAGCUGACCUUUUAUAUAGAUUAAAAUUAGUAUUUUGCUACUAAUCAAUUAAUUAAUAGUUGAGAAAGUUUUAUGAGUAAUUAAUAGUUGAGAAAGUGUUAUGAAUAAUAAAUAGUUGAGAAAGUGUU
This 3261-nucleotide long non-coding RNA is filed under the name Stegodyphus dumicola. RNAcentral describes it as "uncharacterized LOC118201422, transcript variant X4". The record is from RNAcentral. Lineage: Eukaryota; Metazoa; Arthropoda; Arachnida; Araneae; Eresidae.